Molecule: RNA transcript, 890 nt
Organism: Hipposideros armiger (great roundleaf bat)
Lineage: Eukaryota; Metazoa; Chordata; Mammalia; Chiroptera; Hipposideridae
Gene name: PRELI domain-containing protein 1, mitochondrial pseudogene
Exons: 1
Source: RefSeq, a predicted model, not a curated record
CUGGUGGGUCGCGGCACGGUGGUGACUGAGCUGCGAGCCUGGCGGGCGUGCGCCGAGCCCUGGCCUGCCCUCCGCGUGUCCCCCGGGCUCUGCACCCCUGAUGCUGCGUGGGUGCUGAGCCCGCCCCGGCCGAGACAAUGGUGAAGUAUUUCCUGGGCCAGAGCGUGCUACGGAGUUCCUGGGACCAAGUGUUCGCUGCCUUCUGGCAGCGGUACCCGAAUCCCUAUAGCAAACAUGUAUUGACGGGAGACAUAGUGCACCGGGAGGUGACCCCUGACCAGAAGCGCCUGUCCCGGAGACUCCUGACCAAGACCAACAGGAUGCCCCGCUGGGCCGAGCGACUGUUUCCUGCCAAUGUUGCUCACUCGGUGUACAUCCUGGAAGACUCUAUUGUGGACCCUCAGAACCAGACCAUGACCACCUUCACCUGGAACAUCAACCACAGCCGGCGGAUGGUGGUGGAGGAACGAUGUGUUUACUGUGUGAACUCUGAUAACAGCGGCUGGACCGAAAUCCGCCAGGAAGCCUGGGUCUCUUCUAGUUUAUUUGGUGUCUCCAGAGCCGUCCAGGAAUUUGGUCUCGCCCGGUUCAAAAGCAAUGUGACCAAGACGAUGAAGGGUUUUGAAUACAUCUUGGCCAAGCUGCAAGGUGAUGCCGCUUCCAAAACCCUUGUUGAGACAGCCAAGGAAGCCAAGAAGGCAAAGGAGACGGCACUGGCAGCUACAGAGAAGGCCAAGGACCUUGCCAGCAAGGCAGCCACUAAGAAGCAGCAGCAGCAGCGGCAGUUUGUGUAGCAAGCCCAGGUCCUGGUGUGGCAGCACGCCAGACUCCCCAGCUCUGAUCCCCCGCCUUCCCCCUGUAGUUUAUUAUUAAACGUCAACUUCCAGCCC